This 1369-nucleotide long non-coding RNA is filed under the name Oryctolagus cuniculus (rabbit). RNAcentral's name for it is "lncRNA (ENSOCUG00000032295.1)". The record is from RNAcentral. Lineage: Eukaryota; Metazoa; Chordata; Mammalia; Lagomorpha; Leporidae.
AUGUCCAGAGAGAUGUGCUACGUCAAAUGCUGUACCAAGGUAAAUGAGAACAGCAGUGAGGACUUUCACGACAUGGGUCAGUGCAGCAGAUUUUAUCUCUCUCGCAGAAUGGGGAGCAGAAGGCUCAAACAGCUCUCCCAGGGUCACGGGGAUCCAGGGAGGGGACUGAGUCUGGACUGCAACACACCGAAGACUAGCUCCCAACAGAUACUCGUAACCUACUGCUCUACCUUCCGCUCCGAAGGAGGAUGGAAGAUGUCAAGUGGAUUUGAAAUAAGAGGUAUAAAGUCGGUAAAGAAGGAGAUCAAAGGCAGGGGGAGUGGUCAGGCAGGGAAGAUGUUACUGUGGGGCUGGGGACUAACAGCAUGAGCAUGAGAGGGCCCAUGGUUCAGUAGUACUAACUCCAUUACCGUCCUCACUGAUGCCUGAAAGUGCGUUAGCAGCUGUCUCCGAGGGUCGUUUUUCUUUUCUGGUAAGGGUUCACAUUCUCUCUGCAACUCUUCAGCUUAUCCCAGGCCUGCAUAUUGGUGUUUAUUUCUUCUUUAUAGCAUCCUCUUCACACUAUUUGUCCUUGCUCCCACCAUAAAGAUACUCACAUCCACAUACCUGUUUUGCUUUAUUUUUUGCUUCUUCUUGUUUCAUCCUGUAGACAUUUUGGAGAUAGGCUCCAGCAGGGAACAGUAGCCACUGGGCUCAGUAUUUGUGGCCUUGGUGUCCAGUGGGUUAUAAUUUUAGCUGCAUGUUUGACUCAGGUUCCUGGUUCUCACUCCAGACUUCCUGAAUUGCAGCCCCUGGAAAUGAGAGCAGACAGCUUUACUUUUUAAAAUUACCCAGGUCAACCCAUGCAACAAGCCUGAAAUUUAUCCAGGGCAAUAGCUCUAGCUUUAGAGUCGUUCUUUUACCAUUUAGAUUCUGUGAUUUCUGGGCUUUGAGAGCAAAGUAAAAUCACCCUUGACCAUGGGUGUCUUAUUAUCAUCUCUCUCUUGUUUACAGACGUGCCCCUUGUGGCUUUGGGGGCAUUGUGGGAAAUUAUCCUAGGUUGACCCUGCAUUUACUGCAAUUUUACAAUCCUGUCAUAAUUAUAUCCUGUCUCCUGCAUUUCCCUUGUCUGAAGACCAAAUCUCUCCUAAGCUGUCCUCUGUCUUGUCCUACUCUUAAAAAAGUAGCAUUCUUUACUGAUCUGUUCUUGUAGCUAUUUAAAACAACUCAGCUAUAGCUGCCUUUACCCAUUUAGUUUUUACCAUCCUCCUGUAUUCCAACUCCACAUUCUUGUCCCCAGUUUUUGUCAUGGAUCUCUCCUUGCAAAUUCAUAUCUUUUCUUCACCUGAGCCACGUAUUGUCUAUAUCACAAUUGCCAGGGGUAUAGGCU